GCGGGGGGAGAUUGAGCAAUAUUACUUAAUGCUUUCGAAAAGAUUAUUCUGAAAACUGUAACGAGGGAGAGAUUAGAGAGAAGAGGAGGGUCCUGCGUGCGUACGGAGGGGGCGGUCCGUUCAUGCACUCACACACGAGGUUCAGACGGGGUGAUGGAGCGUCCUCGACUGAACCUGAUAGAGCAAAGACACAAAUAGGGGCCGAGCGCGUUGAAGGCGCAACAGACAAGGAACGACUGAACGGAGCUAACAGUCCGUUUGAAUUUAACCGGCGAAAAGCGAAACAGAACACCGUUCGAAAGAACCGGAUUGACCGCGGAACGAAAGUCACUGAAAACGAUUUGAACUGAAGACUUUCUGAACAGAAUUACGCAACGAUUUAUAAUGGAGCAUUCCAGCGGCAUCGGGACACGUCAGCUACAACGCCUCACCUCAAUUCGUUCAGUUGCUCCUUUUGCCUCAAACACUGUGAUCUUGCUAAAAAAAAAAACCGCCUCAGGCUCCUAUAAAACAAUGUCUGCACACAGAUCUGUCUGUCACUGUAAAUGUAAAAUGAAACAUAACAUCCUCCGUUGUAAAGUCAUUCCUCUAUUAUGUGCCAACACUACUUAAAUACUUGGCAUUAAGUGAGAGGAGAUGCGCGGUGAGCCUGAAAGUCUUCACACUGUAAUAUUCCUCCUGUGGUUUGACAGAUUUAUGAAUAAAGUAUAAGAAAUUGCUUUUUGCAACAUAUAUCCUGAUUAAAGCAAACACCAGGAAACACCAAGAAGGGGGAAAUAAUGGAAUUAAUUUUGAUUAUUGUCAUGAACCAGUAGCAACUCAGCACUGAAAGACUGCAUCAUAUUUUUUUUUUCCAUACAGAUCACUGCCGUUGUCCAGACAAGGAUAUCUAAAUUGAAUUACACUGUUACUUGCAUUUUGAUGGUGGAAUUUUCUGUUGUCUUGUGAGUUCUUGUGUAUUUGAACAGUAAAUAUACAAUAUGUUUGUGUGAAUAAAUAUUUGAACUGUUUGUUUGCCUUUUAUUAUUAAACUAAAAUUUAAUUUGUGGAGCCUAAAUUCUAUUUAUCAUCUAAUAUAAAUUUUAUAUAGCUAAUAAUAUUUAAAGUAUGUUUAUUUGUCUAGAGGAACAGACAACAGUGGUUUCACAACAUGUUUUUUAAAACACAUUCUCUUGCAUUAAAAUGUGAGAACCAUAUCUGAAUUCCCAGAAUCACCUAGGACAGUGUUUUGACAUGUACACAAGUCCAGUUCUCAUGGACUAUCACCUCUGCUUGGUAUACAUCAAGUUUUAACAGAAAUAUUCAAAGCCCUAGGGGCAAUAACAUCAUAGAUGUCUCAAUAUACCAGCUCAAAUGUUACGUUCAUGAGAAAGCAGGUUUGUAAUUAGAAACCACAAGCAAAGAUCUUGAAAGAUUGUUGGGUGUAAAAAAAAAGAAGAAAAAAAGCUGUCAAAAUAAUUAAGCAUGGACAACAAUUACAGAAUUGAUGUAGAAACACUACAAAAAAUGCUAGUAAAUUUCAUUCCAGAGAAAUUAAAAGUAACAUUGAAUUAAACAUGAAAUUUUGAAAUAGAAAAAGCUGAAAUCACAUUUUCUUGUAAAAUGCACUCAAAAUCUUUUCAAAGUUGUGUACAGUGUACAAUAAAGAAUCCAUUGCUCCCUUAAAAGUGUUAUAAAUCUUAUUUAUAACUACUAUCUCCAUGAUGAUUUCAAUAUAUCGUAUAUAUUUUAUAGGCCCACAACUCCUUAAAUAAUCCACAAUUGUUCUUGCAACACUAGCACAAUCCACAAGAGGUCAGUAAAUCAUUUUGCAUUUCCAUUCAGAGUAUACGCACUCACACGCACCGCGUUAAUAAUAUAAACCGAAUUAAAUUACACACAAAGACUUGCACGACAAAAUCACCUGAUUCAAGACCAAGUUUCACCUUGACAUUUCCCCUGUACUUCCUUUAUACCAUGAAUAAACAUCUGACACCAAAUAUAGGCUUCCUCAGUCCCCUGAGAACUGAGCUCAGCUGAGACCAAUUCUGGUGAUGUAAGAGCAUAUAAAUAGAUGCAAUAGUCUAUUUGAGGAGCUAAUCUCUAAAACAAG
RNAcentral lists this long non-coding RNA (2092 nucleotides) under Sinocyclocheilus anshuiensis. RNAcentral's name for it is "lncRNA (ENSSANG00000051560.1)". Lineage: Eukaryota; Metazoa; Chordata; Actinopteri; Cypriniformes; Cyprinidae. The record is from RNAcentral.